This 501-nucleotide ribosomal RNA is filed under the name uncultured bacterium. RNAcentral describes it as "partial 16S ribosomal RNA". It matches the Rfam family "Bacterial small subunit ribosomal RNA", at positions 30 to 523 of the family's 1533-position model. The record is from RNAcentral.
AUUGAACGCUGGCGGCAGGCUUAACACAUGCAAGUCGAGCGGGGGAAGGUAGCUUGCUACCGGACCUAGCGGCGGACGGGUGAGUAAUGCUUAGGAAUCUGCCUAUUAGUGGGGGACAACAUCUCGAAAGGGAUGCUAAUACCGCAUACGUCCUACGGGAGAAAGCAGGGGAUCUUCGGACCUUGCGCUAAUAGAUGAGCCUAAGUCGGAUUAGCUAGUUGGUGGGGUAAAGGCCUACCAAGGCGACGAUCUGUAGCGGGUCUGAGAGGAUGAUCCGCAACACUGGGACUGAGACACGGCCCAGAGUCCUACGGGAGGCAGCAGUGGGGAAUAUUGGACAAUGGGGGGAACCCUGAUCCAGCCAUGCCGCGUGUGUGAAGAAGGCCUUAUGGUUGUAAAGCACUUUAAGCGAGGAGGAGGCUACUUUAGUUAAUACCUAGAGAUAGUGGACGUUACUCGCAGAAUAAGCACCGGCUAACUCUGUGCCAGCCGCCGCCGUAA